This 489-nucleotide ribosomal RNA is filed under the name uncultured bacterium. Its description in RNAcentral is "partial 16S ribosomal RNA". It matches the Rfam family "Bacterial small subunit ribosomal RNA", at positions 355 to 858 of the family's 1533-position model. The record is from RNAcentral.
UGGGGAAUAUUGCACAAUGGGCGAAAGCCUGAUGCAGCAACGCCGCGUGAGUGAUGAAGGUCUUCGGAUUUGUAAAGCUCNGUCUUUUGGGACGAUAAUGACGGUACCAAAGGAGGAAGCCACGGCUAACUACGUGCCAGCAGCCGCGGUAAUACGUAGGUGGCGAGCGUUGUCCGGAUUUACUGGGCGUAAAGGGUGCGUAGGCGGAUGUUUAAGUGAGAUGUGAAAUACCCGGGCUUAACUUGGGUGCUGCAUUUCAAACUGGAUAUCUAGAGUGCAGGAGAGGAGAAUGGAAUUCCUAGUGUAGCGGUGAAAUGCGUAGAGAUUAGGAAGAACACCAGUGGCGAAGGNGAUUCUCUGGACUGUAACUGACGCUGAGGCACGAAAGCGUGGGUAGCAAACAGGAUUAGAUACCCUGGUAGUCCACGCCGUAAAACGAUGAGUACUAGGGUGUAGGAGGUAUCGACCCCUUCUGUGCCGCAGUAAAAC